AAUGGACGAAAGUCUGACGGAGCGACGCCGCGUGGAUGAAGAAGGCCGAAAGGUUGUAAAAUCCUUUUGCUGGGGAAGAAUAAGUCUGGGAGGGAAUGCCCGGAUGAUGACAUGAACCGGCGAAUAAGCCCCGGCCAACUACGUGCCAGCAGCCGCGGUAACACGUAGGGGGCGAGCGUUGUUCGGAAUUACUGGGCGUAAAGGGCAUGUAGGCGGUUUUGUAAGCUUGGCGUGAAAGACCACGGCUCAACCGUGGGGUUGCGUUGAGAACUGCAAAGCUUGAGUUAUGGAGAGGGAGCUAGAAUUCCUGGUGUAGGGGUGGAAUCUGUAGAGAUCAGGAAGAAUACCAAUGGCGAAGGCAAGCUCCUGGCCGAUGACUGACGCUGAGGUGCGAAAGUGUGGGGAUCAAA
Molecule: ribosomal RNA, 410 nt
Filed under: uncultured bacterium
Lineage: Bacteria
Description: bacterial SSU rRNA
Rfam family: Bacterial small subunit ribosomal RNA
Source: RNAcentral